Molecule: ribosomal RNA, 253 nt
Filed under: uncultured bacterium
Lineage: Bacteria
Description: partial 16S ribosomal RNA
Rfam family: Bacterial small subunit ribosomal RNA
Source: RNAcentral
UACGUAGGGUGCAAGCGUUAAUCGGAAUUACUGGGCGUAAAGCGUGCGCAGGCGGUUAUGCAAGACAGGUGUGAAAUCCCCGGGCUUAACCUGGGAACUGCAUUUGUGACUGCAUUGCUGGAGUGCGGCAGAGGGGGAUGGAAUUCCGCGUGUAGCAGUGAAAUGCGUAGAUAUGCGGAGGAACACCGAUGGCGAAGGCAAUCCCCUGGGCCUGCACUGACGCUCAUGCACGAAAGCGUGGGGAGCAAACAGG